RNAcentral lists this ribosomal RNA (119 nucleotides) under Pteropus alecto (black flying fox). Lineage: Eukaryota; Metazoa; Chordata; Mammalia; Chiroptera; Pteropodidae. The record is from RNAcentral.
GUCUACAGCCAUGCUACCCCGAACAAGCCCGGAUCUCGCUGAUCUCGGAAGCUAAGCAGGGUCAGGCCUGGUUAGUAGUUGGAUGGGAGACAACCUAGGAAGACCAGGUGCUAUAAGUG